Amphiprion ocellaris (clown anemonefish) is the source of this 332-nucleotide long non-coding RNA. NCBI's taxonomy places the organism in Eukaryota, Metazoa, Chordata, Actinopteri, Pomacentridae. The record is from Ensembl.
AGGAAGAACUCCAACAGCUACUGAAUGUUCCUGUGGUUCCCUCAAGGCUACAGGAGGAGCCCUACGAGGACGAGCUGGUCCACCUGAUGGUGGCCAGUCGCUGCGGUUCAAAGCCAACACCGACUACGUGGACUUCUACUGGACCACACGGAGGCCUUCAAACCGGACCAACAAGUUCAGCGACUCCCCGACUCGUGGGUCUGAGGACACUGCCGAGCCUCGGUCCAGCCGGCCUCCUGUCUGUGGGUGUUUGAGUGCUGAGAGAUGUUAAGCUAAAGGAGUUUUAUUGGUGACGUCUAACCAAUCAAAUCACUCCAGAAGACAGAGCGACC